GGUAACCGGUCUGAGAGGAUGAUCGGUCACAGUGGGACUGAGACACGGCCCGCACCCGUACGGGGGGCAGCAGUGGGGAAUAUUGGGCAAUGGCCGAAAGGCUGACCCAGCGACGCCGCGUGGUGGAUGAAGCCCUUCGGGGUGUAAACACCUUUUCUGGGGGAAGAUAAUGACGGUACCCCAGGAAUAAGGGACGGCUAACUACGUGCCAGCAGCCGCGGUAAUACGUAGGUCCCGUAACGUUGCGCGAAAUUACUGGGCGUAAAGGGUCCGUAGGCGGUCUGGUAAGUGGAAGGUGAAAUCCAUACGGCUCAACCGUAGAAUUGCCUUCCAAACUGCUGGACUUGAGGCAGGGAAAGGUCGGCGGAAUUCCCGGUGUAGCGGUGAAAUGAGUAGAUAUCGGGAGGAACACCAGUGGCGAAGGCGGCCGACUGGAACUGUCCUGACGCUGAGGGACGUAAGCUAGGGGAGCAAACCGGAUUAGAUACCUCGGGUAGUCCUAGCC
This 505-nucleotide ribosomal RNA is filed under the name uncultured Aquificaceae bacterium. Its description in RNAcentral is "bacterial SSU rRNA". It matches the Rfam family "Bacterial small subunit ribosomal RNA", at positions 282 to 801 of the family's 1533-position model. Lineage: Bacteria; Pseudomonadati; Aquificota; Aquificia; Aquificales; Aquificaceae. The record is from RNAcentral.